Molecule: ribosomal RNA, 606 nt
Filed under: uncultured fungus
Lineage: Eukaryota; Fungi
Description: eukaryotic LSU rRNA
Rfam family: 5.8S ribosomal RNA (bases 185-334)
Source: RNAcentral
AGUCGUAACAAGGUAACCGUAGGUGAACCUGCGGUUGGAUCAUUAACAAUGAACCGGGGCGCGGUUGAGGCGAGAGCUUCCUGCGCUCUAUACACACAUGUGCACUGGAAUGUAUUUCGGGCUCUGUUGGGCCCGGCAUUUAACAAACCCUUUUAAUACGUCUGACUUUGAGAUAAAGAGAAACAACUUUAGACAACGGAUCUCUUGGCUCUCGCAACGAUGAAGAACGCAGCGAAAUGCGAUACGUAAUGUGAAUUGCAAAUUUCCGUGAAUCAUCGAAUCUUUGAACGCAUAUUGCACUCUAUUUCGGUAGAGUAUGCCUGUUUGAGAAUCUAUAGUAUUUAUUCUAGCAUUGUCUAGAGAGGUGAGGCGUCUUUUGUGAGUGCCUUUAAAGCUAUAGCCGGAAGACCUGAGCAUGUGCUGACGCUCUGCAAGCUUUUCGAAAAGUAUUUGAAUGAACCUAGUUCUUUGAUGCUGAAUAGAUCAACGCAGGGACGAGCGUGCCGGGGCGUGCGGUCCAUAAACCAAGACGCGAGUCUGAACCAUGGUCUCAAAUCAGGUAGGAGGACCCGCUGAACUUAAGCAUAUCAAUAAGCGUAAAAGUCG